This 495-nucleotide ribosomal RNA is filed under the name uncultured bacterium. Its description in RNAcentral is "partial 16S ribosomal RNA". It matches the Rfam family "Bacterial small subunit ribosomal RNA", at positions 28 to 507 of the family's 1533-position model. The record is from RNAcentral.
GAUGAACGCUGGCGGCGUGCCUAAUACAUGCAAGUAGAACGCUGAAGGAGGAGCUUGCUCUUCUGGAUGAGUUGCGAACGGGUGAGUAACGCGUAGGUAACCUGCCUGGUAGCGGGGGAUAACUAUUGGAAACGAUAGCUAAUACCGCAUGACAACAGUUAUUGCAUGAUAACUGUUUAAAAGGGGCAACUGCUCCACUACCAGAUGGACCUGCGUUGUAUUAGCUAGUUGGUGAGGUAACGGCUCACCAAGGCGACGAUACAUAGCCGACCUGAGAGGGUGAUCGGCCACACUGGGACUGAGACACGGCCCAGACUCCUACGGGAGGCAGCAGUAGGGAAUCUUCGGCAAUAGACGGAAGUCUGACCGAGCAACGCCGCGUGAGUGAAGAAGAUUUUCGGAUCGUAAAGCUCUGUUGUAAGAGAAGAACGAGUGUGAGAGUGGAAAGUUCACACUGUGACGGUAUCUUACCAGAAAGGGACGGCUAACUACGUG